This 2902-nucleotide ribosomal RNA is filed under the name Escherichia coli. RNAcentral describes it as "bacterial LSU rRNA". It matches the Rfam family "Bacterial large subunit ribosomal RNA". Lineage: Bacteria; Pseudomonadati; Pseudomonadota; Gammaproteobacteria; Enterobacterales; Enterobacteriaceae. The record is from RNAcentral.
UUAAGCGACUAAGCGUACACGGUGGAUGCCCUGGCAGUCAGAGGCGAUGAAGGACGUGCUAAUCUGCGAUAAGCGUCGGUAAGGUGAUAUGAACCGUUAUAACCGGCGAUUUCCGAAUGGGGAAACCCAGUGUGAUUCGUCACACUAUCAUUAACUGAAUCCAUAGGUUAAUGAGGCGAACCGGGGGAACUGAAACAUCUAAGUACCCCGAGGAAAAGAAAUCAACCGAGAUUCCCCCAGUAGCGGCGAGCGAACGGGGAGGAGCCCAGAGCCUGAAUCAGUGUGUGUGUUAGUGGAAGCGUCUGGAAAGGCGCGCGAUACAGGGUGACAGCCCCGUACACAAAAAUGCACAUACUGUGAGCUCGAUGAGUAGGGCGGGACACGUGGUAUCCUGUCUGAAUAUGGGGGGACCAUCCUCCAAGGCUAAAUACUCCUGACUGACCGAUAGUGAACCAGUACCGUGAGGGAAAGGCGAAAAGAACCCCGGCGAGGGGAGUGAAAAAGAACCUGAAACCGUGUACGUACAAGCAGUGGGAGCCUCUUAAUGGGGUGACUGCGUACCUUUUGUAUAAUGGGUCAGCGACUUAUAUUCUGUAGCAAGGUUAACCGAAUAGGGGAGCCGAAGGGAAACCGAGUCUUAACUGGGCGUUAAGUUGCAGGGUAUAGACCCGAAACCCGGUGAUCUAGCCAUGGGCAGGUUGAAGGUUGGGUAACACUAACUGGAGGACCGAACCGACUAAUGUUGAAAAAUUAGCGGAUGACUUGUGGCUGGGGGUGAAAGGCCAAUCAAACCGGGAGAUAGCUGGUUCUCCCCGAAAGCUAUUUAGGUAGCGCCUCGUGAAUUCAUCUCCGGGGGUAGAGCACUGUUUCGGCAAGGGGGUCAUCCCGACUUACCAACCCGAUGCAAACUGCGAAUACCGGAGAAUGUUAUCACGGGAGACACACGGCGGGUGCUAACGUCCGUCGUGAAGAGGGAAACAACCCAGACCGCCAGCUAAGGUCCCAAAGUCAUGGUUAAGUGGGAAACGAUGUGGGAAGGCCCAGACAGCCAGGAUGUUGGCUUAGAAGCAGCCAUCAUUUAAAGAAAGCGUAAUAGCUCACUGGUCGAGUCGGCCUGCGCGGAAGAUGUAACGGGGCUAAACCAUGCACCGAAGCUGCGGCAGCGACACUAUGUGUUGUUGGGUAGGGGAGCGUUCUGUAAGCCUGUGAAGGUGUACUGUGAGGUAUGCUGGAGGUAUCAGAAGUGCGAAUGCUGACAUAAGUAACGAUAAAGCGGGUGAAAAGCCCGCUCGCCGGAAGACCAAGGGUUCCUGUCCAACGUUAAUCGGGGCAGGGUGAGUCGACCCCUAAGGCGAGGCCGAAAGGCGUAGUCGAUGGGAAACAGGUUAAUAUUCCUGUACUUGGUGUUACUGCGAAGGGGGGACGGAGAAGGCUAUGUUGGCCGGGCGACGGUUGUCCCGGUUUAAGCGUGUAGGCUGGUUUUCCAGGCAAAUCCGGAAAACUAAGGCUGAGGCGUGAUGACGAGGCACUACGGUGCUGAAGCAACAAAUGCCCUGCUUCCAGGAAAAGCCUCUAAGCAUCAGGUAACAUCAAAUCGUACCCCAAACCGACACAGGUGGUCAGGUAGAGAAUACCAAGGCGCUUGAGAGAACUCGGGUGAAGGAACUAGGCAAAAUGGUGCCGUAACUUCGGGAGAAGGCACGCUGAUAUGUAGGUGAAGCGACUUGCUCGUGGAGCUGAAAUCAGUCGAAGAUACCAGCUGGCUGCAACUGUUUAUUAAAAACACAGCACUGUGCAAACACGAAAGUGGACGUAUACGGUGUGACGCCUGCCCGGUGCCGGAAGGUUAAUUGAUGGGGUUAGCGGUAACGCGAAGCUCUUGAUCGAAGCCCCGGUAAACGGCGGCCGUAACUAUAACGGUCCUAAGGUAGCGAAAUUCCUUGUCGGGUAAGUUCCGACCUGCACGAAUGGCGUAAUGAUGGCCAGGCUGUCUCCACCCGAGACUCAGUGAAAUUGAACUCGCUGUGAAGAUGCAGUGUACCCGCGGCAAGACGGAAAGACCCCGUGAACCUUUACUAUAGCUUGACACUGAACAUUGAGCCUUGAUGUGUAGGAUAGGUGGGAGGCUUUGAAGUGUGGACGCCAGUCUGCAUGGAGCCGGCCUUGAAAUACCACCCUUUAAUGUUUGAUGUUCUAACGUUGGCCCCUGAUCGGGGUUGCGGACAGUGUCUGGUGGGUAGUUUGACUGGGGCGGUCUCCUCCUAAAGAGUAACGGAGGAGCACGAAGGUUGGCUAAUCCUGGUCGGACAUCAGGAGGUUAGUGCAAUGGCAUAAGCCAGCUUGACUGCGAGCGUGACGGCGCGAGCAGGUGCGAAAGCAGGUCAUAGUGAUCCGGUGGUUCUGAAUGGAAGGGCCAUCGCUCAACGGAUAAAAGGUACUCCGGGGAUAACAGGCUGAUACCGCCCAAGAGUUCAUAUCGACGGCGGUGUUUGGCACCUCGAUGUCGGCUCAUCACAUCCUGGGGCUGAAGUAGGUCCCAAGGGUAUGGCUGUUCGCCAUUUAAAGUGGUACGCGAGCUGGGUUUAGAACGUCGUGAGACAGUUCGGUCCCUAUCUGCCGUGGGCGCUGGAGAACUGAGGGGGGCUGCUCCUAGUACGAGAGGACCGGAGUGGACGCAUCACUGGUGUUCGGGUUGUCAUGCCAAUGGCACUGCCCGGUAGCUAAAUGCGGAAGAGAUAAGUGCUGAAAGCAUCUAAGCACGAAACUUGCCCCGAGAUGAGUUCUCCCUGACUCCUUGAGAGUCCUGAAGGAACGUUGAAGACGACGACGUUGAUAGGCCGGGUGUGUAAGCGCAGCGAUGCGUUGAGCUAACCGGUACUAAUGAACCGUGAGGCUUAACCUU